AUUGAACGCUGGCGGCAGGCCUAACACAUGCAAGUCGAACGCGUGGCGGACGGGUGAGUCAUGUCUGGGAAACUGCCUGAUGGCGGGGGAUAACUACUGGAAACGGUAGCUAAUCCCGCAUACCAUCAGAUGUGCCAAGAUGGGAUUAGGUGGUGGGUGGGGUAACGGCUCACCAAGGCGAAGAUCCCUAGCUGGUCUGCGAGGAGGACCAGCCACACUGGAACUGAGACACGGUCCAGACUCCUACGGGAGGCAGCAGUGGGGAAUAUUGCACAAUGGGCGCAAGCCUGAUGCAGCAAUGCCGCGUGUAUGAAGAAGGUCUUCGGGUUGUAAAGUACUUUCAGAGGGGAGGCGUUACCCGCAGAAGAAGCACCGGCUAACUCCGUGCCAGCAGCCGCGGUAAUAC
This 406-nucleotide ribosomal RNA is filed under the name uncultured bacterium. RNAcentral's name for it is "partial 16S ribosomal RNA". It matches the Rfam family "Bacterial small subunit ribosomal RNA", at positions 30 to 526 of the family's 1533-position model. The record is from RNAcentral.